This 302-nucleotide ribosomal RNA is filed under the name uncultured Chlorophyceae. RNAcentral describes it as "partial large subunit ribosomal RNA". It matches the Rfam family "Eukaryotic large subunit ribosomal RNA", at positions 40 to 350 of the family's 3401-position model. Lineage: Eukaryota; Viridiplantae; Chlorophyta; Chlorophyceae. The record is from RNAcentral.
AUAUCAAUAAGCGGAGGAGAAGAAACUAACAAGGAUUCCCCUAGUAACGGCGAGCGAACCGGGAAAAGCCCAACUUGAAAAUCUCUUCGGAGAAUUGUAGUCUAUAGAAGCGCCCUCUGUAGCGACUAGGUCCCAAGUGCCCUGGAAAGGGCCGUCAAAGAGGGUGAGAACCCCGUCGGACCUACGCCUGCUGCUCCACGAGACGCUUUCAACGAGUCGGGUUGUUUGAGAAUGCAGCCCAAACUGGGUGGUAAAUCCCAUCUAAGGCUAAAUAUUGGCGAGAGACCGAUAGCGCACAAGUA